Molecule: RNA transcript, 2932 nt
Organism: Drosophila kikkawai
Lineage: Eukaryota; Metazoa; Arthropoda; Insecta; Diptera; Drosophilidae
Gene: Treh
Gene name: Trehalase
Source: RefSeq, a predicted model, not a curated record
AGCUCUCAACAUCGUCGAUGUGCUGACGAGCAGCGUUUUCUGAUUAGAACUGGGAACACAUAUAAUCCGGGCAUAUAUAGUAAUCAGGUGUCCAACGCAGAUAGUGAGCGAGUUAUAAAAACUCGCGCUCAGCUGAGCAAAUUGCCAAUAAUAAAAGUGUGUGAAACGCGAAAACAAACUGAGAACUAAUUGGAAAACAAAAAAUAAAACAAUUACACCGCUUUAAUCAGCUGGAACCUCAAGUAAUUAGUCUAAGAUAAGCGAAAAGAGUUCCUAAAGUGCUAUGACCAAGUUAGUGACCAUCCAGCUGCUCCUUGCGAGCUGGAGUUGCCUGGCAGUCCUUGCCCAGGCAAAGUCCAUCGAUUCCCCCAUCGACUUCACCACAGACAAUGACAACGCCAUUGCCAAGGAUGUGGACACCGAUCCGUUCGACAGUUGUCAAAUCUACUGUACUGGUGACUUGUUGCACACCAUCCAAACGGCUGUUCCAAAGAUUUUCGAUGACUCAAAGACGUUUGUGGACAUGAAACUGAAUUUUCCGCCCGCCAAGACCCUCACGGAUUUUGAGGCUCUGAUGGAUGCCAAGAACAGGACGCCCAGCCGGGAUGACUUGAUAGAGUUCGUCAAUAAAUACUUCAGUCCCAAGGGCACCGAACUGGAACUGUGGACGCCCACGGACUGGAAGGAGAACCCCAGCUUCCUCGAUCUGAUCCCCGACCCGGACCUAAAGCAGUGGGGCAUGGAACUGAAUAACAUUUGGAAGGAUCUGGGCCGCAAAAUGAAGGAUGAUGUCCUGAAGAACCCCGAGUACUACUCCAUCAUCCCGGUGCCCAAUCCGGUCAUCAUACCCGGCGGUCGAUUCAUCGAGUUCUACUACUGGGACUCCUACUGGAUCAUCCGUGGACUGCUCUACAGUGAUAUGCAUGACACUGCCCGCGGCAUGAUCGAGAACUUCAUGUCGAUCGUUAAGCGGAUUGGUUUCAUUCCAAACGGUGGCCGAGUGUACUACCACGGCCGCUCCCAGCCGCCACUUCUGACCGGAAUGGUCAAGUCAUAUGUGGACUUCACCAACGACGACUUGUUCGCUAUCAAUGCGCUGGAGGUGCUGGAGCACGAGUACGAGUACUUUGUGAACAACCACGCGGUGCAGGUUAAGGGUCAUAACCUGACCGUCUACCGUGACUCGUCAACGGGCCCGCGGCCAGAAUCCUACAGAGAGGACGUGGAGACGGGCGAGAAGUUCGCCACCGAGGAUGCUAGGGAGGAUCACUACAGCGAGCUCAAGUCAGCGGCCGAGUCGGGCAUGGACUUUAGCUCCCGCUGGUUCAUCAAUGAGAAUGGCACCAAUGAGGGCAACCUUACACACCUGAAAACUCGCUCCAUUGUUCCAGUCGACCUGAAUGCCUUCUUGUACUGGAACGCCAAGCUGAUAGCCGAGUUCCAUGCCAAGGCGGGCAACGUUGAAAAGGUCACCGAGUACGAGAACAAGGCGCAAAAGCUGCUGCUGGGCAUCCAAGAAGUACUGUGGAAUGAGGAGGCCGGCUGCUGGCUGGACUAUGACAUGAUCAACCAGAAGCCGCGUAACUAUUUUGUGGCCACCAAUCUCUCGCCGCUGUGGGUUAAAGCCUUUAAUAUUUCCGAUACCGAGAAAAUCUCCAAGUCGGUGCUGAACUACAUUGCGGUUAACAAGCUGGACUCAUUUGCCGGCGGAGUUCCCAACACACUGUCCAAUACCGGAGAGCAGUGGGACUUUCCCAACGUGUGGGCACCGAUGCAGUACAUUGUGGUUGAGGGUCUCAACAACCUGAACACCCCCGAGGCUAAGAACUUGUCCAAGUCGUGGGCCAUGCGCUGGGUGAAGUCUAACUUUAAGGCUUACAGCGAUGACUUCCACAUGUACGAGAAGUAUAACGCCGAAAAGUUUGGAGGACAUGGUAGCGGCGGCGAGUACGGCGUACAGACAGGCUUUGGCUGGUCCAACGGCGUGAUAAUCGAGUGGCUGGCCAAGCACGGCCGCGAGUUGGACAACGGCGGAGGCCGAGGCGGUGCAGCAGGUGAACGUCCGCAAUAGAAUGAAUCUGUAGAGCGAACGAACGCAAGCCGAAACGCUUUCCAUCAGACAUCACCGUAGUCACCAUUGUCAUCACGGGCUCCAAGCCAAAGCUCCAUCGAAAUCUUUGAUAUCACAUGCAUAUAUUUGUAGUUCAUGUAUAGGAAUCCAUCCAGAAACGCUCAUUUUUGCUCAUACUUAGGCUAAGGAAAUGCUCUCUCUCUCCACCACCCUGUCUAUCCCUAUAUCUAUGCCGCUGUCUGUAACCUAUCUCUGUACCGCGAACAAUCGACAUACCGAGCCAAGCACUGCGAAUCACAACGACUCACCAGCACAGUCAGUCAGCACCGGCAGGAAGCAGGAUCCAGCAUCUGUGUACUCUCUGUUAACCAAUGUGUUUCGUCCGCUCCUGUGACUUGUCCAAAUUCAAGCAAUGUCCAAUCAGAACAUUAAAUGUCUCACAGCAAGCGGAGCAAGCACCGCGCAGUCAAGGUGUGGAUUCACGCCUUCGCGCGUAAUGAGCCUCGUGGGCGUGGCGGCUGUUACCAUAGUAGCUCUGAUAGCAGGUCGCGUUCUAUGGUGAGAGACUCUGUGCCAAACAACCCGUAAUUGCUUCCCCAAUGCGAAUGUGAUUCCCCCCAUGUGUUUGCGUGUGUAGUGUUUGUUAUUGUUCAAGAGAUUGCAGUAUUAGAUUUUCAUUAUGCGCUAGUUGUUGAAGCGAGAGUUGUACAUACAGAAUUUACAUGGGCAUGCCCGACGUUGUUAUUAAUUUUUAAAUAUAAUUAGAAAAUACCUAAGCCAAUCCUAGCUCCUCGCAACCAAAUGAAGACACAAAUACAAUUGUUAAACUAAUUUUUUGGAAUAAACAAAAUCCCAAACAAA